AUGUCGUCCAGCCUAGCUCUCAGCCCGUUCAAGACUAGCCCGAGCAACAUGGCCCUGUGCUUCCUCUUCGACUGCAACGGGACGGAGCCACGGGGUCCUGGCUACACGAACGCCACCGCCGGCUGCGAUAAGCCCAUCUACGCGUACCUGGGCGGGAUCUACGACCGGGACACGCCGCCGGCGAUCCCCACCGGAAACUGCACGUACACCUACCUCCCGGUGCUCGGGGCGGAGGCGGCGGCCGCCGACUACAGCCAGCUGCUGAAGGCUGGGUUCGUCCUGGACUGGGAGGGCACCGGAGUCGGGGAAUGCCCCGCUUGCAUUGCUAGCGGUGGCCAGUGCCGAUACAACACCUCCAAAGCGAAGUUCCUGUGCCUCUGCCCCGAUGGCAUGCUGCACGGGUCGACAUGUGCCGCUUUGGCGGCCGCUUAG
This 432-nucleotide ribosomal RNA is filed under the name Triticum aestivum (bread wheat). RNAcentral's name for it is "partial small subunit ribosomal RNA". Lineage: Eukaryota; Viridiplantae; Streptophyta; Magnoliopsida; Poales; Poaceae. The record is from RNAcentral.